This 29-nucleotide non-coding RNA is filed under the name Mus musculus (house mouse). The record is from RNAcentral. Lineage: Eukaryota; Metazoa; Chordata; Mammalia; Rodentia; Muridae.
UGAGCCUUAUCAGGGUUCUAAAUCCAUGC